This 253-nucleotide ribosomal RNA is filed under the name uncultured bacterium. RNAcentral's name for it is "partial 16S ribosomal RNA". It matches the Rfam family "Bacterial small subunit ribosomal RNA", at positions 524 to 776 of the family's 1533-position model. The record is from RNAcentral.
UACGUAGGGGGCGAGCGUUGUCCGAAUUUACUGGGCGUAAAGCGCGCGUAGGCGGACUUUUAAGUUGGGGGUGAAAUCUCAAGGCUUAACCUUGAAACUGCCUCCAAAACUGGAAGUCUUGAGGUAUGGAGAGGGAAGUGGAAUUCCUGGUGUAGCGGUGAAAUGCGUAGAUAUCAGGAGGAACACCCGUGGCGAAGGCGGCUUCCUGGCCAUAUCCUGACGCUGAGGUGCGAAAGCUAGGGGAGCGAACGGG